CUAGACCCGUCCGGGAGCGCGCUCUGCUUUCCCGGUUGGUUGGCUGCCCGGUUGCUGCCUCCCGGCAGCAUCUUUUACAACCUCUGGUUCCUUCCUAUUCAAGCUCCAAGGCCAGUCUCACAGGCGCGGUAUCUGUUCUUGGUUUCCGCAAUCAACUUCGGGCUCGGCAGCUCCAUGGUCCUCUGCUAGGUUUUCUGCAGCUCCUAUCAAAAUACAAAACCUACACUCAUCGCACUGAAGCGUCUUUCGCACCUGCUCCCCAACCCCUAAACUAAUUGCCUAGCUAACCUAGUGCGACGACCCACCCAACAAAGUAAGAUACCAGAACACUUCGUGCCAAUAAAGCACUGGGUGCAGAGUCUGACAUAUAGCAGAUUUAAACAAAUGAUUGUCCAGUCCACUUUCCUUUCAAUAAAUUUGUCAACCCAUGUCUCCC
Molecule: long non-coding RNA, 436 nt
Organism: Enhydra lutris kenyoni (northern sea otter)
Lineage: Eukaryota; Metazoa; Chordata; Mammalia; Carnivora; Mustelidae
Exons: 2
Source: RefSeq, a predicted model, not a curated record